Molecule: long non-coding RNA, 508 nt
Filed under: Pan troglodytes (chimpanzee)
Lineage: Eukaryota; Metazoa; Chordata; Mammalia; Primates; Hominidae
Description: long non-coding RNA NONPTRT007195
Source: RNAcentral
CGGCAGCCCCAGGUCCCGGGUCCCUCAGACAAAAGGGCGGGUGGAGGAGGAGUAGCCGAGCCCAGAGUCCUGCUCCGGCGCCGCCGAGCACCGCCCGCCUCAGCCGACCAGCCCCGUCGGCUACUGGGCCUAGCCGAGACCAGAGGAAGGAAAUGCCCCGGAGGCCACGACGAGGCGGCGGGGGCGCAGGCGGCCGGCUGCCGCCUAGUUGUGCUGCCCGGACCAAGGAAAGAGAAGUGGGAGGAGCGGGGAGCUCGGCGACCCUCCCGCCGUGGCGGUCGCAGCGCCGGCAGCUCGGGCCUCAGCCCCUGACGCUGUGGUGACUCCGCCGCGCCUCGCCGUCGCCCCUGUCCCCGUCCCGCCCGCCGCCCCGGCCACCCCCGCCACCCCCGCCGCCGGGGACAUGUCCAACCCCGGAAGCCGGAGAAACGGGCCAAACUGCGCUUGACAAGACUUCCUGAUCCAUUUGCUAAGGUGGUGGUUGAUGGAUCUGGGCAAUGCCAUUCUA